GGGACCAGCCUGCUGCAUACUGUGAUGUCGCAAAAAAGCCUUUGUUGACUGGACCUAAGGGUGCCCCUGCAGUCCAGAGCUUCCCCUACAGUGAGAGCUAAGUCCACAGCUAACUCCAGUUCUGCUGAGUCAGCAGUUGAGACACAUCUGCGGUUGGGAAGCAGGUGAAACAGAAGAGAAGCAGUGGAAAGACCAGCUUUCAGGAGUCCUCACAGUGAGCCAGGAGCCCUCCAUGCCCACUUCUUUUUACUCCUCUUAGCAGUCCUGGGAGGAAGAUAGGAUUUACCCGCAUCUUAUCAACUGAGGAGCUGGGCCCAGAGGUCCUGGUGCAGGGAGGAAAUCUGGGUCCACCUGUUCCCUACCAUCACUUCACUCUGGGGAUCAAGUGUGUGGUGCCUUCUCUGGUUUCAUGACCCCCAGUUUGCCGGAGGGCAGAAAAUGCCCUGCAGUCAUAAAGCUCCAGGAACGGACAGCCAGAACCCCAGGUAGGAAGAGGCACCUGAGCCGGGAAGGAGGGGGUGGGGAGGGGAACAGGGGAUGGCAGCCCCUGAUCCACCCCAGCUGUUCAAACAUCCAGGCCCCUUCCCUCUUCCUUCCCAAGUCCCCGGUCAGCACUCAGCCCUGGAUCGCAGCUGCCCUGGGUCCCCGCAGUAAAACACCUCGCAGAGGUUUCCUCCAGCAGACAGGCAGGAAGGCCCCCAGCUCGCCCAGGAGCCCCCAGGACUGGGUGGGGCUGGGAUCCGAGUGGAUGGCCCUGCUGAGCCCAGGGAGGAGCACAGGAAGGAGCGUGGGAGGAGGUGAGAGGCCACCGUGCAGGCCGCAGCCCACACCAGCCCCUGGCACUCUCCCACCUCCAGCCACUGUCCACACCGGUGUUUCCUAUCUCUUCUUCGCGGCUCUCAGUUCUGCUCAUUCCCAGGCCGCCGGUAAAGUGCUUCCAGAUGGAAAAUGUCUCUCUCCAGCCUCUGGCCCCAGUGGUGCCUUGUCUCCUGCGGCCUGA
Molecule: long non-coding RNA, 1000 nt
Filed under: Vulpes vulpes (red fox)
Lineage: Eukaryota; Metazoa; Chordata; Mammalia; Carnivora; Canidae
Description: lncRNA (ENSVVUG00000027271.1)
Source: RNAcentral